AAUUAUUUAGCUUAUCAAAGUUUAUGACUUGAAUUCAUAAGAAAGAAGUAAAUUCUUCUAAUAAUUU
This 67-nucleotide transfer RNA is filed under the name Nasonia vitripennis (jewel wasp). It matches the Rfam family "tRNA". From Rfam's summary of the family: Transfer RNA (tRNA) molecules are approximately 80 nucleotides in length. Their secondary structure includes four short double-helical elements and three loops (D, anti-codon, and T loops). Lineage: Eukaryota; Metazoa; Arthropoda; Insecta; Hymenoptera; Pteromalidae. RNAcentral also lists the same sequence under 1 other name. The record is from Rfam by way of RNAcentral.